RNAcentral lists this ribosomal RNA (574 nucleotides) under uncultured delta proteobacterium. RNAcentral describes it as "bacterial SSU rRNA". It matches the Rfam family "Bacterial small subunit ribosomal RNA", at positions 1 to 552 of the family's 1533-position model. Lineage: Bacteria; Deltaproteobacteria. The record is from RNAcentral.
AGAGGUUUGAUCAUGGCUCAGAACGAACGCUGGCGGCGUGCCUAACACAUGCAUGUCGUACGAGAAAGUCCCUUCGGGGAUGAGUAAAGUGGCGCAUGGGUGAGUAACACGUAGGUAACCUGCCUCUAAGACCGGAAUAACUUGUCGAAAGACGGGCUAAUGCCGGAUAAGACCACAGGAGCUUCGGCUCCAGCGGUCAAAGGUGGCCUCUGCUUGCAUGCUAUCGCUAAGAGAUGGGCCUGCGGACCAUUAGCUAGUUGGUAGUGGUAACGGCCUACCAAGGCAAAGAUGGUUAGCUGGUCUGAGAGGAUGGUCAGCCACACUGGGACUGAGACACGGCCCAGACUCCUACGGGAGGCAGCAGUGGGGAAUAUUGGGCAAUGGGCGAAAGCCUGACCCAGCAACGCCGCGUGGGUGAUGAAGGCCUUCGGGUCGUAAAGCCCUGUCGGAAGGAAAGAAUUCUUCUGGGGUGAAUAAUCCCAGAAAUUGACGGUACCUUCNAAAGGAAGCACCGGGCUACUUCCGUGCCAGCAGCCGCGGUAAGACGGAGGGUGCUAGCUGUUUGUUCGGAAUC